Molecule: ribosomal RNA, 546 nt
Filed under: uncultured bacterium
Lineage: Bacteria
Description: bacterial SSU rRNA
Rfam family: Bacterial small subunit ribosomal RNA
Source: RNAcentral
AGGGUUUGAUUAUGGCUCAGGAUGAACGCUGGCGGCAUGCCUAAUACAUGCAAGUCGAACGAACUACCUCUAUGACCUUGAAAGUGCUUGCACUGGAUUGUGAUUAGAAUUUGUAGUUAGUGGCGGACGGGUGAGUAACACGUGGGUUACCUGCCACACAGAAUGGAAUAACUAUUGGAAACGAUAGCUAAUACCGUAUAUGACCUUCGGGUUGAAAGGGGCGUUUGCCUCGCUGUGUGAUGGGCCUGCGGCGCAUUAGCUAGUUGGUAAGGUAAAGGCUUACCAAGGCGACGAUGCGUAGCCGGACUGAGAGGUCGAUCGGCCACAUUGGGACUGAGACACGGCCCAAACUUCUACGGGAGGCAGCAGUAGGGAAUUUUCCGCAAUGGACGAAAGUCUGACGGAGCAAUGCCGCGUGAGUGAUGAAGGUUUUCGAAUCGUAAAGCUCUGUUGUAAGGGAAGAACAGCACUAGUAGGAAAUGACUAGUGCGUGACGGUACCUUACCAGAAAGCCACGGCUAACUACGUGCCAGCAGCCGCGGUAAU